CCUACGGGUGGCAGCAGUAAGGAAUAUUGGUCAAUGGCCGAGAGGCUGAACCAGCCAAGUCGCGUGAGGGAAGAAUGUCCUAUGGAUUGUAAACCUCUUUUGUCAGGGAGCAAAUUCACCCACGUGUGGGUUUUGGAGAGUACCUGACGAAAAAGCAUCGCCUAACUACGUGCCAGCAGCCGCGGUAAUACGGAGGAUGCGAGCGUUAUACGGAAUUGUUGGGUUUAAAGGGUACGUAGGCGGGUUGUCAAGUCAGCGGUAAAAUCGUGGAGCUCAACCCCAUCCCGCCGUUGAUACUGAUGAACUUGAGUGGGAGAGAGGUAAGCGGAAUGCGAGGUGUAGCGGUGAAAUGCAUAGAUAUAACGAAGAACACCGAUGGCGAAGGCAGCAUACUGGCGCCCAACUGACGCUGAAGGACGAAAGCGUGGGGAGCGAACAGGAUUAGAUACCCUGGUAGUC
RNAcentral lists this ribosomal RNA (459 nucleotides) under uncultured bacterium. Its description in RNAcentral is "partial 16S ribosomal RNA". It matches the Rfam family "Bacterial small subunit ribosomal RNA", at positions 338 to 795 of the family's 1533-position model. The record is from RNAcentral.